UAUUGCACAAUGGGGGAAACCCUGAUGCAGCGACGCCGCGUGAGUGAAGAAGUGUUUCGGCACGUAAAGCUCUGUCAGCAGGGAAGAAAAUGACGGUACCUGACCAAGAAGCCCCGGCUAACUACGUGCAAGCAGCCGCGGUAACACGUAGGGGGCAAGCGUUAUCCGGAUUUACUGGGUGUAAAGGGAGCGUAGACGGUUAUGCAAGUCUGGAGUGAAAGCCCGGGGCUCAACCCCGGGACUGCUUUGGAAACUGUAAAACUGGAGUGCAGGAGAGGCAGGCGGAAUUCCUAGUGUAGCGGUGAAAUGCGUAGAUAUUAGGAGGAACACCAGUGGCGAAGGCGGCCUGCUGGACUGUAACUGACGUUGAGGCUCGAAGGCGUGGGUAGCAAACAGG
This 397-nucleotide ribosomal RNA is filed under the name uncultured bacterium. Its description in RNAcentral is "bacterial SSU rRNA". It matches the Rfam family "Bacterial small subunit ribosomal RNA", at positions 362 to 776 of the family's 1533-position model. The record is from RNAcentral.